UGCGAUGAGGAAACCUCAGGUGUGCAAGGGC
This 31-nucleotide non-coding RNA is filed under the name Mus musculus (house mouse). Lineage: Eukaryota; Metazoa; Chordata; Mammalia; Rodentia; Muridae. The record is from RNAcentral.